Pelmatolapia mariae (spotted tilapia) is the source of this 4053-nucleotide long non-coding RNA. RefSeq lists it as uncharacterized. NCBI's taxonomy places the organism in Eukaryota, Metazoa, Chordata, Actinopteri, Cichliformes, Cichlidae. The record is from RefSeq and is a predicted model, not a curated record. The transcript has 4 exons.
GUGAGCGUGACAGCAGGUUACAGUCCCGUUAGCUCUGCGUCUGAACCGUGAAUUUAUGGUGUGCACAUACUCACAGCAUGUGGUUAUAUUUGCUGGAACACGAAGAGGCCGCACAUAUUCGCACAAUCGGCCGUCAGCGGCUGUCAGCAAGAUGGAGACGGUUUCAUCUGAUGUGGCGUGAAGGCAGAGACGAGGCUUCGCAGGUCUUUGCUAGAGAGGCGAUUCAAUCCGCUCCGAGUCCUUCCUCUUUCAUGUCGUUGUGCCGCCGACCGGCUUUGGUCUACGAUCCGUUUAAAACCAACAAACCGACCAAGUGGUGAAGCUCAGACGAGGGAAUGAAAGCGGUUCACACAGAGGAACAGUAAAGCCUGGAAGAACAUGAGCUUUCACUGAGAAACUGAUGAUAAUCACUUCACACCCUCCAGUGGGAUGAGUUCUCUCUCUGGGCUCCUGCUCCACUGGGAGUUACAGGAGCCUCUCCUACCCGUGUUUUAUUUUCCUUCCCCCCUAACCGUCUGGUUCAGGGUGGUCCACUGACAAUCCACUGAUUCAACUGACAGAAAGUCGAUCCAAUCUCAUCCUACUCGGCGUUCUCUCGGCUCAUAUCUUGACAUCUCGGCUGCCCGGGGAGGUGGAAGAACACAGACUGGCUCAUAGCACAAGGUUCAGGUCUCUGACUAGAUGGCACGAAUGACAACAAGGAAAUAAGGUUGAUGAUGUGUGAACCUGACACCACGCCCUUCAGCCAUCAUCGCCUGUCCUCUCCACCUCUGGAAAAAGAAGGCCUGAGUCAGCGGAGAGUCCCCGGACAGAUGGGAACAAUCUGCUCUCUGAACCACCAGCUGGAGAAAAAGAGGGCCGGCAGUGUGCCGAUGACCUGACCGCUUCAAUUAAUUACUGCUUUAACAGUAUCCGUACACACAGCCAGCCAAAUGAAGCGUCCUCUUCAUUUAUUAUUUAAAAAAUGUUUCCAUGUAUCAACAGUUACUGGUACAGUGCACUUUAAAUGGCAACUGAGCAUAAAACAGUUUCAAUUUAAGAUAUGGAACCAACAUGUUAUUCCGAACACUUGUUACGCGUUCGUAAACCUGAACGCCAGUGCUCUCUGGUUUCUUUCCAGAAGGACAAAAUUCUGAUUAAAAACAACAAACAUGAGCACAGUAUUUGCCUUUUUUUCCCCGUGUACUUCCAGCUUCCUCCCACAGUCCAAAGACAUGCAGUUAGUGGGGAUAGGUUAAUUGGAAACUCUAAAUUGCCCAUAGAUAUGAGUGCAAAUGGUUGUCAGUGUCUAUGUGUUAGCCCUGCGGUGGACUGGCAACUUGUCCAGGGUGUAGCCUGUCUCUCGCCAUAAGACAGCUGGGAUAGGCUCCAAAUGGAUGGAUGGAAAACAAACAUAAAUUAUCUUUUUUAUUUUUGAUGGGUUUUGUUUAGUUUCUGGGUUUUGUCCAAUUUUGCUCAUUUCUAUUAAUAUUUAUAAAAACAAGAAUACAGAUACUGUUUUAAAAUGAAGCUACUUAAUGACAAAAGUGGGGUCUGAACUCUAAAAAGACUUCAAAAAGGGAAAACCUGCCUCUUCAAAAGUAACAAUAAAAAAUCUAAUGACUUUAUAGUGAGAUUUAAAAAUUCUUGAUGUUUCCUCAGUAAAGCUAAGUAAAGCUGUGGGAGUUUAUAGUUUGACUUGUUUAUCAUGGCUUACGUCUUCGACAGCAACAUUUACAUUCUUGCCUUUAGCUGAAGGCGGUACACUGGUCUAUUACACAAAAAUCAAUCAGCAAACCUUUGCAAUAAAUGUUCUGGACGUGAGUGAAGCACUGCACAAAAAGGCCAACAAUAAAACCACCAUUAUUAAAGAGAAAGAAAACUGCGACAAAUGAUUUGCUAAACUUAAAGAAACAACCAAAGGGGGAAAGAAAAUAAUCAAAACACAAGGUGAAAGGUGAAAGGUCUUGAAAUAAUCUAAAAAGUUUCAGUUUACUGAAGCACAGGAAAGAGGCAUUCCAAAUAUUAAGUUUGUCCAUUCAAUGGAAAGAAAUUACUGAUUAAACAAUCAACUGUUCAAUUAACCAGCCUAUCAGCGUCAUUCUAAAACGAUCUGGUAGGUCUGCAGCCACUGAAUAAAACUGUGUAAAUCCAACAUCCUCUUACUCACCGCCUGAGUACCUCAGUUUAGCCCUCAAUGAUGUAUUUCAUUUCUAGGGAAAUACAGCAGAAUGAAUGCCAACAGAAAGCUGCAUUUAUUUUCUUCAUUUUUCAAGGCAAAAUCACAAACCCAGGGAGAGGCACGCUCUAACCAAACAAGGUUUCAAACCAAGGUUUCUCAUCACUCCAGCUCCCAAAGGUUUCCUGUAAAUUUCAAUGUGCUGCUCGUAUGACUAAUGCUUAGCUCUGAUUAAUGUAAUCAGUGUUUUUUAUCAAGAGUAGACAGAAAUGCAUAGCAACUCACUACUUGAUGGAUAACUCAUGACGCACACAGCUCUAUGAUCGUGUGCUACAGGGCAGCAGCGUGUUUGUCAAUGCAAUCCAGAGUUUAACGUUGUUUAUAUGUAUAUUUAGCUUGUCCGGUGUCACAGAUCUCCCACAGGAAUAAAUGACUACGAACAUUAUUAGAUGCUGUUAGACAGAAAAUCAACUGAAUGACAUGACAAAUCACAGACACAAUAAAUAAACUGACCUGCUGAUCGGAUGAAAAACAUGUUAUUUUUGCGAACAAGUUAUUUACAUCGUUCAGGUAUUACAUGAAGACAAUAAAUCUAGAGGAGAACUGUGCCAAGUUCUCCCAGACCAAUUCCAAAACAGAGACUAAAACACACCAAAAUAUGUCCAAACCACCAAACCACGUUUAAAGCCAGUCAAAAACUAAAUGUACUCCAAACUCAUCUGCCAUAAAGUUCAGCCCGUUCUUACUCCCAAGGCGUUCCUGAGGAACGCGAAAGGUGACCUUCAGCGUUCUUAUGCUACGUGCCGGGUUAUGGGUUAAAUCCAAUAGAAUUACGGUCCCGCGGUAAUACACGUUCCAGCCAUGUAUUCCAGCCCUAACCCUAACCUGAUCCCUAACCUUAACCAGCACUAUAAUGACGUUAAAUAGCGUUUUCCAAAGCGAUUUAAGUAAAAUGAACAAACAUGUGUAGAUUGAUUCAAAACGGUCUCAUGUUUCCUCAUUUUUCCGAUUUCAUCAUUUAGGGACGUGUUGGGUGCCCAGAAGCGUAAUAUGUUGACGAUUUGUCACCUAGUGUAAAAUAUUAUGCUUUGGGAGUAAGAAUGUGUUGCAAAGUUUUAGUCACUUUAAGCCUGCGUAGGGCUGAAUCUGAUCUGAAUCAUUAGUUUAAAGAUGAAGGUUAGCCAAAAAACUGCAGUAUCUCCAGCUGAGAACUGGAUGUACUUAAAAUUUAUACUUAUGUGGCCGGAUGGGUUGCGCAUGUCAGUGGAGCUGCUGUCUUGUCUUGUCUUCCGUUCUGUUGGCGGUCCAGUUUUGUUCCUGCUGCUUUGCCUCGCCUCGCCUCUGGGGGCUUUGGGUCUCACUUUAAGCCCCUUCUGGACUAUUGUUUGCACUCCAGCUUUCGCAGCUGGCUAGGGCGAUCCUCAGCUGCAUAACGGGCUGGUGCUACAAAACUGGUACUGCCUCCCCUGGUUGCUCCCAGUUUGUGGAGAGCUGCACAAGACUGAGUGGGGCUACGGACAAUCGUAACCAGCACCAGCUGUGGGCUGGCUCGCAGAGUGCAAGUAUUUCCAAUCUGUGCUCUGUGGUGUGUGUGUUUUAUUAAAGAUUUCAGUUUUUCUUUUAAUUCUUUUUUUUAAUUAUAUAGAGAGCCUGUUAUUUGGUGUCCCAUGUUUUAUCCUUUUAAUGUGUAUGUCUUGUGCUUUUAUUUCAGCGAACUAAGGAUCUACCAGCGGCCGUGGGACCUCAGGUGGCGGGUCAUUUUCCACACUUCCUUUGUUGUACAGCACUGGGUGAAUAGACUGUAGUGGGGUUUUUUGUGUGGUUUUCUUUUUGGUCCACCGCUGCUGGUAAGUCCCAGUUGUCUGUUUUAUUUUUAUUGUAAUUUGGGACACAGU